GAAACUUCGGUGGAUUUAAUUUAUUUCUAGUGGCGGACGGGUGAGUAACGCGUGGGUAACCUGCCUUAUACUGGGGGAUAACAGCCAGAAAUGACUGCUAAUACCGCAUAAGCGCACAGAACCGCAUGGUUCCGUGUGAAAAACUCCGGUGGUAUAAGAUGGACCCGCGUUGGAUUAGCUAGUUGGCAGGGCAGCGGCCUACCAAGGCGACGAUCCAUAGCCGGCCUGAGAGGGUGAACGGCCACAUUGGGACUGAGACACGGCCCAGACUCCUACGGGAGGCAGCAGUGGGGAAUAUUGCACAAUGGGGGAAACCCUGAUGCAGCGACGCCGCGUGAAGGAAGAAGUAUCUCGGUAUGUAAACUUCUAUCAGCAGGGAAGAUAAUGACGGUACCUGACUAAGAAGCCCCGGCUAACUACGUGCCAGCAGCCGCGGUAAUACGUAGGGGGCAAGCGUUAUCCGGAUUUACUGGGUGUAAAGGGAGCGUAGACGGCGCAGCAAGUCUGAUGUGAAAGGCAGGGGCUUAACCCCUGGACUGCAUUGGAAACUGCUGUGCUUGAGUGCCGGAGGGGUAAGCGGAAUUCCUAGUGUAGCGGUGAAAUGCGUAG
RNAcentral lists this ribosomal RNA (609 nucleotides) under uncultured Lachnospiraceae bacterium. RNAcentral describes it as "bacterial SSU rRNA". It matches the Rfam family "Bacterial small subunit ribosomal RNA", at positions 69 to 693 of the family's 1533-position model. Lineage: Bacteria; Bacillati; Bacillota; Clostridia; Lachnospirales; Lachnospiraceae. The record is from RNAcentral.